AGAAACCCGAAAGGUCGAAAGAGGAAAUUCAUUCGCGUUUCGAUAAUUGAAGUUGAACCGUUUGUAUGACGGAUAUUGUUUGUGUUUCGGCAUAUUACAAUAAAUCGCGUUUUACGUUUUUCUAAUCGAUAUCGAACGCGUGCACUUUUCCUCUAGUAGGACGUCGUGAUCCGUUGGGUGUCUGUCUAAGACUCGAGGUGGAGACCACUUGAUUUUAUUCGAAUUAGGUGGACCCUCGAUGUUCCGACAGACCCGCUCGACGGUAGAAAUAUGGCGCGGGGCCGCUAGAUUAAUUAGCGUUCGGCCCGUAGCAAGAGCGUUUCGUGUUUGACGGUAAUCGGACAUAAUGCCGAUUCUGUCCCGGAACGACUGUUGGUUACGGUGUUCUCGAACAGACCUCGUUUUGAAACGCCGAUCAACGACGCUAUCGAUUUGGGUAAUUUCAGGACCC
RNAcentral lists this ribosomal RNA (451 nucleotides) under Diorhabda elongata. RNAcentral's name for it is "partial 28S ribosomal RNA". The record is from RNAcentral. Lineage: Eukaryota; Metazoa; Arthropoda; Insecta; Coleoptera; Chrysomelidae.